RNAcentral lists this transfer RNA (69 nucleotides) under Strix varia varia. Its description in RNAcentral is "tRNA-Cys". The record is from RNAcentral. Lineage: Eukaryota; Metazoa; Chordata; Aves; Strigiformes; Strigidae.
GGCCCUGUGGUGAAGAAUUCAUGUUGAGUUGCAAGCUCAUCGAUGUGCACUGAUGGUGUACCGGGGUCU